AACAUAACAUGUUGGUCCUACUUCAAGAUGCUAGAAAGCUUGACUUUUUGGGUAAGUUUGAUGGGCUUUGGCUAGGUCCCUAUCUAGUCAAGAAAGUCUUUCUGAAUAAUUAUGUCUAAUUACAAACCUUAAAUGGAGAGGACUUUCUAACUCAUACUUCUAAGAACAGAAGCAAGGAGUACAAAACUUAAAAAUUAGAAUUUUACUAUUGUCUUGUAUUUACUAACCAAUUUCUAAACUUAAAUGUUGGAAUUUCUCCAUGUAGACAUUCACCAUGAUCGUAAAGAAUUUAGAAGUUUUGACAUUUAAAGUUGACCAACAACCUACUACUAUCAAAUAGUUUAAAAUAGUUUCUAAUAACAUCGACUUGUACAUACAAAAAGCCAAUUGAGUCUGAGAAUGAAUCCAAAUCCUAUGACUUUACAGAUUGGUACUAUCUUAUUGUAGAUUC
This 451-nucleotide long non-coding RNA is filed under the name Physcomitrium patens. Its description in RNAcentral is "long non-coding RNA (PPAT_LNC008948)". The record is from RNAcentral. Lineage: Eukaryota; Viridiplantae; Streptophyta; Bryopsida; Funariales; Funariaceae.